AGCAGCGUGGCUCAGUGGAAAGAGCCCGGGCUUGGGAGUCAGAGGUCAUGGAUUCAAAUCCCAGCUCUGCUA
This 72-nucleotide transfer RNA is filed under the name Ornithorhynchus anatinus (platypus). It matches the Rfam family "tRNA". From Rfam's summary of the family: Transfer RNA (tRNA) molecules are approximately 80 nucleotides in length. The record is from Rfam by way of RNAcentral. Lineage: Eukaryota; Metazoa; Chordata; Mammalia; Monotremata; Ornithorhynchidae.